CACGAGACCCUCUCCACUACCAGCCUUUGUCGCUCAUAGGAAAGAGGUGUCGGAUUUUGUGAGCUUUAGCUCAUCAUCGUCGGUGCAGGUGGAGGAUGAAGUAACUUUCAUGGAGCGGAUGGCCAAGAAGGAGAGACUUGCACCUACCACGGAGGGGGCGACAAGUUAUGCACGAGAGCCAGAAGUUGUCGUCAUCGGACUCGAUCCCAGCCCCAGCAGGAGGCUCCCUUCCAGUACCUGACGACAAGUAACUGAACGGAUGUCAUAGUCGCCUCCAUCCCUCUGCAGUCAGAGACGGAGCAUCCAAGGGCGGCUCAUGAGCGCUCUACCGUGGAGUGCAGAUCUCAUUCUAGGACUUCCGUUGAUGAGCCCGUCUGCACUGGGAUGUGCCCGUAGCCAUGCGAAAAUAACUAAUGUUGCCGGAGGCGGAGAUGUUCCUCCUCAACAAGAGCCCACUAGUGGGUUCCUUUCUAUUAAAGUUUUUGUUCAUUUUUCUUACUUUUUUGUCUUCUUGAACUUCUUCGCAGGCCAGUUUUCUUCGUUCCUUAGUGUUGUAGACCUGUCCCCACCCAGCAAUGUAGGCGGGGACGACAACAUCAAGGAGGUCACCAGGAAUGCGCGUGUCGAAACCAGCCGAACCAUGGCAGAAGGAGAGGCUUCCAUCAAGUGUGUGGAGAAGGAAGCUGACAAGAAGGAUGCGGAGGACGUGGUGUCAGAGGUGGCCAAAGACACUGAGGGGUCAGGGACCUGUAGUUCACCAACUUCCUCGGUGACGCAAUUCCUCAUGCUUUUUUUGAAGGCGAUUCUCUUGACGA
Molecule: long non-coding RNA, 815 nt
Organism: Hordeum vulgare subsp. vulgare (domesticated barley)
Lineage: Eukaryota; Viridiplantae; Streptophyta; Magnoliopsida; Poales; Poaceae
Exons: 2
Source: RefSeq, a predicted model, not a curated record